UACGUAGGUGGCAAGCGUUGUCCGGAAUUAUUGGGCGUAAAGCGCGCGCAGGCGGUCCUUUAAGUCUGAUGUGAAAGCCCACGGCUCAACCGUGGAGGGUCAUUGGAAACUGGGGGACUUGAGUGCAGGAGAGAAGAGUGGAAUUCCACGUGUAGCGGUGAAAUGCGUAGAGAUGUGGAGGAACACCAGUGGCGAAGGCGGCAUCCUGGACCGGUAUUGACGCUGAGGCGCGAAAGCCAGGGGAGCAAACGGG
Molecule: ribosomal RNA, 253 nt
Filed under: uncultured bacterium
Lineage: Bacteria
Description: partial 16S ribosomal RNA
Rfam family: Bacterial small subunit ribosomal RNA
Source: RNAcentral